GACGAACGCUGGCGGCGUGCCUAACACAUGCAAGUCGAACGGAAAGGCCCUGCUCUUGUGGGGCGCUCGAUUGGCGAACGGGUGUGUAACACGUGAGUAACCUCCCCCUGUCUUUGUGAUAACUCCAGGAAACUGGGGCUAUUACCGGAUAGGAGCUCCUGCUGCACGGUGGGGGUUGGAAAGUUUCGGCGGUUCUGGCUCGACUCGCGGCUUAUCAGCUUGUUUGUCGAGUAGUGGCUUACGAGGGUUUUGACGGCUAGCCGGCCUUGGAGGGUGACCGGCGACAUUGGGACUGAGGUACGGCCCAGACUGGUACGGGCGGCAGCAGUGGGGAGUAUUGCGGAAUGGGCGGGAGCCUGAUGCAGCAACGCCGCGUGCGGGAUGACGGCCUACGGGUUGUGAACCGAUUUCGACUGUGACGAAGCGUGAGUGACGGUAAUGGGUAAGGAAGCAACGGCUAACUACGUG
Molecule: ribosomal RNA, 468 nt
Filed under: uncultured bacterium
Lineage: Bacteria
Description: partial 16S ribosomal RNA
Rfam family: Bacterial small subunit ribosomal RNA
Source: RNAcentral